RNAcentral lists this ribosomal RNA (253 nucleotides) under uncultured bacterium. RNAcentral describes it as "partial 16S ribosomal RNA". It matches the Rfam family "Bacterial small subunit ribosomal RNA", at positions 524 to 776 of the family's 1533-position model. The record is from RNAcentral.
UACGAAGGACCCGAGCGUUAUCCGGAUUUAUUGGGCUUAAAGGGUGCGUAGGCGGUUUUACAAGUCAGUGGUGAAAUCUCCCAGCUUAACUGGGAAACUGCCAUUGAAACUGUUUAUCUUGAGUACAUUUGAGGCGGGCGGAAUGUGUCAUGUAGAGGUGAAAUUCUUAGAUAUGACACAGAACACCAAUUGCGAAGGCAGCUCGCUAAACUGUAACUGACGCUGAGGCACGAAAGCGUGGGGAUCAAACAGG